Molecule: microRNA precursor, 108 nt
Filed under: Bigelowiella natans CCMP2755
Lineage: Eukaryota; Cercozoa; Chlorarachniophyceae
Description: miRNA EPrBNAG00000013472
Source: RNAcentral
CAGCAAUGAUGAUGAUGAUGAUGAUGAUGAUGAUGAUGAUACUACAAAGCACUCCCAAACAGCAACAAACAUCCAUCAUCAUUAUUAUCAUCAUCGUCGUCGUCGUCG